RNAcentral lists this long non-coding RNA (1905 nucleotides) under Prunus dulcis (almond). RNAcentral's name for it is "sRNA ncRNA". The record is from RNAcentral. Lineage: Eukaryota; Viridiplantae; Streptophyta; Magnoliopsida; Rosales; Rosaceae.
AGCAGCCAUGGAACAACAACAGAUCUUGUUCUACACAUUUCUCUCCCUUAUCUCAAUCCUCUUCACUAUCAAGUUCUUGCUCCAAGAAAAACGACGACGUUACAAAAACCUCCCACCAAGCCCACUCUCUCUCCCAAUCCUCGGCCAUCUCCAUCUCCUAAAGAUCCCCAUCCAUCGAACCCUCCAACGCCUCUCACAAAAUCACGGCCCCGUAAUCUCUCUCUGGUUCGGCUCACAGCGUGUGGUCAUAGUAUCAUCCUCGUCCGCAGCCCAAGAAUGCUUCACCAAAAAUGACGUCGUCUUAGCCAACCGUCCUAGCAUGCUCAUAGGCAAGCACCUAGCCUACAACAACACCACCACCGCUACGUCCCAAUAUGGUGACCACUGGCGCAACCUCCGCCGCAUUGGGUCCACCGAGAUCUUCUCAACCUCUCGGUUAAACGCAUUCUUGAACGUCAGAAAGGACGAAGUCAAACACUUGCUGCUUAAACUUUCAGAAAACGUACACGAUGAUUUUGCGAAGGUGGAGCUCAAGUCUAUGUUUUAUGAGCUGACAUUCAACAUCAUAAUGAGAAUGGUGGCCGGGAAGAGAUACUACGGGGAGGAUGCGUCGGUGGACAAAGAGGAGGCGAGGCAGUUCAGAGAGAUCAUGAAGGAGGUUUUUGCUUAUACUGGGGUAGCGAACCCGGUUGACUUCUUGCCCGUUUUGAAUUGGGUUGGGAGUGAACGUGGGUAUGAGAAGAAGGUGAUGAAGCUGGCUAGGAAGACGGAUGCGUUCAUGCAAGGUCUCAUUGAUGAACACAGGAGCAAGGAUAAAAAUGGUAGCACAAUGAUUGACCAUUUGCUUUCUCUGCAGGACUCACAACCUGAGUAUUACAGUGACCAAAUUAUCAAGGGGCUUAUUCUGGUUAGUCCAAAAGUCUUUAUAUUUCAUGAAUUUAUUUUAGAGCAUGGUUUGGUUGCUUAAAGUUAAUGAGGAGCUAAAAAUUAAAGGAAUCCAAAAGCUAAAAAAAAAAAGUUAAAGAAAUUUGAUAACUGUCAAAAUUCUAUUUGUUUUGACGAACUCCUCCUCAAUUUUAAAGACACAUAUUUUGAUAUCGUGAGAUACACUAAAUCACAUCGGGAUGUUAAAAAAUGACUUUCCCUAGCCACAUGAAGUUUUAUUUAUAACACUCAAAGAAUAAAUAUUUUCAGGACAUGGUGCUGGCGGGUACUGACACAUCAUCAGUGACACUAGAAUGGGCCAUGUCGAAUUUGUUUAACCAUCCGGACGUGCUAAAAAAGCAAGAGCUGAACUGGAUGCUCAAUUAGGCCAAGAACAGUUGGUGGAGGAACAUGAUAUCUCUAAACUGCCCUAUCUUCAAAGUAUCAUCUCAGAGACUCUUCGAUUGUACCCAGCGGCCCCAAUACUACUACCACAUUUUUCAACAGAUGAUUGCACUAUUGGGGGAUACAAAGUGCCACGCGGUACCAUGGUAUUGGUCAAUGCAUGGGCUAUACAUAGAGAUCCAAAGUUGUGGGAUGAUCCUCAAAGCUUCAUACCCGAGAGGUUUGGGAGUGGUUAUGAUUUGUCAAGUCAACUCAUACCAUUUGGAUUGGGAAGAAGGUCUUGUCCAGGAUCGGGCCUUGCCCAACGUACGCUGGGCUUGACGUUGGGAUCAUUGAUACAAUGCUUUGACUGGGCGAGAAUUAGUGAGAAGGAAAUUGAUAUGACAGAAGGUAAAGGCUUCACAAUGCCUAAAGUUAUGCCAUUAGAGGUCAUGUGUAAAGCACGCCCGAUUAUCAACAAGGUUCUGAUUGUUUGAUCUAGAAGAACUAGUAAUAAUAUCCAGCUUUGGGAAGCAUUAUCAUUUUGGGAAUUAUUUCAGUUGUAUGUUUUAGGUCGUAGCGAGUAUUUGAUUUGGC